This 103-nucleotide non-coding RNA is filed under the name Carnobacterium sp. RNAcentral describes it as "THF-I sequence". It matches the Rfam family "THF (Tetrahydrofolate) riboswitch aptamer". Rfam says of the family: THF riboswitch presents a pseudoknot that joins P1-P2 and the loop of P3 and two THF binding. The record is from RNAcentral. Lineage: Bacteria; Bacillati; Bacillota; Bacilli; Lactobacillales; Carnobacteriaceae.
AACAGAGUAGGAAAUAAAGCGUUAAGUGUUGAUGGGAUGGGAUGUUGCCCUCAAACGAAAAAUUGUCUUGGCAAUUUGCGGUUUUAUUUCUGCAUUCGCUGCA